RNAcentral lists this long non-coding RNA (433 nucleotides) under Salvia miltiorrhiza (redroot sage). Its description in RNAcentral is "long non-coding RNA (SMIL_LNC005844)". The record is from RNAcentral. Lineage: Eukaryota; Viridiplantae; Streptophyta; Magnoliopsida; Lamiales; Lamiaceae.
UUCAAUCUCUGAUAUAUAUAUAUCCAAGUAGAUGCCUUGAUGUCUUCUCCAGAUAAUUUCUGCUGAACCCCAGGUGAAUAAUCUGGAAAGACACUCAAAAACCCUUUCAUUGCGUAGUAAGUUUUCUUACCAUGAUUUUUUGCCUUGCAUAAGUCUUUACAAAGCUAGUUUCCAUGGCAACAGAUUAUAACUAAUCUCCACCUAUAUAUAGCUAUGUUGUACUGACUAAUAAGUAACACUCUCCUUUCCUCCCAAGUCAGAAGUGAAGAAAAUGAAAGUGGUGACGGUUGCGCUGAUGACUUACCUAUGCUUAGUGAGCAGCGUCGUCGUGGCCGAGAAGACCAAAGUCGACGGCACCAUAGAGAAUCAUCACAACAUACCAAGGCAGUACUAUAACCAGUGGGGCAGCGGAGGAGAUAAUAAUGGCGACAAU